AUGAUACCAAAUACAACCAGCCUCUGCACCAUCAAGAUGUCCAAAAACAUCCAGGAUGAACACAACCAAAAAAAAAAAACAAGAGAGAAAGAAAAAAAAAGCCCCGUCGCAGUGUAUAGCCACUCGCAACAGAAGCACUCUAACCACCUCCGAAUACAACACAUGUAUUACAUACUAGGCUCUCCAAAAGCAACGCCUCCAAGAAGGAAACAAAAUACAAGCGUUGUCGUCGCCCGAUCGAAGAUCUUGAGUUUUCACUCCGGAGAAAGACCAAGUUUCCAAAACAAUGCCUUCAGAAAGGCCAAUUGCAGGUACAACCAACGAAGGCCAGAACUUGGGUUUUCACCCUGA
RNAcentral lists this ribosomal RNA (351 nucleotides) under Triticum aestivum (bread wheat). RNAcentral describes it as "partial small subunit ribosomal RNA". The record is from RNAcentral. Lineage: Eukaryota; Viridiplantae; Streptophyta; Magnoliopsida; Poales; Poaceae.